RNAcentral lists this ribosomal RNA (221 nucleotides) under uncultured Gardnerella sp. Its description in RNAcentral is "partial 16S ribosomal RNA". It matches the Rfam family "Bacterial small subunit ribosomal RNA", at positions 134 to 354 of the family's 1533-position model. Lineage: Bacteria; Bacillati; Actinomycetota; Actinomycetes; Bifidobacteriales; Bifidobacteriaceae. The record is from RNAcentral.
UGCUCCAGAAUAGCUCUUGGAAACGGGUGGUAAUGCUGGAUGCUCCAACUUGACGCAUGUCUUGUUGGGAAGUGUUUAGUGGCAUGGGAUGGGGUCGCGUCCUAUCAGCUUGUAGGCGGGGUAAUGGCCCACCUAGGCUUCGACGGGUAGCCGGCCUGAGAGGGCGGACGGCCACAUUGGGACUGAGAUACGGCCCCAGACUCCUACGGGAGGCAGCAGGC